GCCUCUGAUGCAGAGUCUGGAGUGUCAUCCCUGGGAACUGGCAUGAAUAAAAUAGGCCAGGAAGGUCUGCGUGCCUUCCAACCUUAAUGCAGCUCUGUGCUGCACGACUUAAAGGCAGAGCACCUGCCGUCACAGUCCUUAGUGGACUGGCCUUUAUCUCAGGUGAGUGGGGCCUUUCUGGUUGGGUGUCUUGCUGACAGGUGUGCAGGGAGAGAUGAGAGCCUGGCCCAUGGGUGAAUGAUUGCUGUUCAUCCAUGGAAUUCAUUUUCCUAUUUGAAAUGCCGCAUAAUCGGGUGGCGGAUAGAGCGCUGAAUUGGAAAUCCAGGAUACGCAGACUUUGUGAGGACCCUGCUGCUGAUACUUAGAGUGGUCCAGCAGUGGUGGCUUCCUGUGCCUGGGAACUCAUGUGGAAAGACCUAGCAAGGACACUGAGAAGCUACAUCUCAUUCUGCAGUCCUAGCACCAGUAAAUGUCUGAGGAAUGAAUAAGAGAGCGUGUGCAUGCUCUGAAGUCUGGACAACCACCUAUUUUCAGUUUGAAAACAUAACAGAGUUCUCGGGACUUGAAAUGUUUACCUUAGACUUGCCAGAAGCUUCUCUCUUGCCUGUUGACCGUGCAUCUCCAUUGUGUCCCGGAUGCCAAUGCUGUUGUCAGAUUUGUUUCUCGUAUUGUCCCAACAUCCCAAACUCGGAACCUUUCAACCGACCUGUCUGCCUUCUCCCUGUGCCCCAAAGUUGUUGCUGCAAGUCCUUUACAAUCAAGGCCACCACCAUAGAGUGAUUCUAGAAGAUGGCUCUGAGCUCACUUUAUCCAUUCAACUCCUGAUACCCUGGAAACUACGAAAUCAAGACGCAAAGGAAGACACCAUCUGCAAGAUGAACAAGGGUGCUCCUGCAAGAAGGCCCAGCACUCAGGUUGACCUCACUGUCUGUUCUGCGUCUGUGACCCUGUUCACUAGGUGACCUCUUCCCCUGCAGAACGGUGUUUAAGUGUCAGUUUUGUGAAGAAAGAAUGGCCGGUAAGAGUGGAAGCUUACGAUCUCAUGCUGCUAAUUGCUGCGUUACAACUCAUUCUUCUGGGACUCGGGCUGGACGUACACAUGUGUGCAUCACCCAUGGUGAUCACAUCAUCUCAUUUUGAAAACUCCAUGAGUUGGAGAAAACUUUAUUUUUUAGAUGAGGAACCUGCAGCCAGGAGGUUUCGCAAUUUGCUCAAGCUCACAUACCAAGUGAGGGUGAGGGCUGAGACCCAGAAUGGGUCGGUCUUACGUUCAAAGAACAGGUGCCCUUGACUCUAUGUUCCUUGGUCUGUAGUUCUGAAAUCCUGAGGUUUUACACUAAGC
Molecule: long non-coding RNA, 1342 nt
Filed under: Felis catus (domestic cat)
Lineage: Eukaryota; Metazoa; Chordata; Mammalia; Carnivora; Felidae
Description: lncRNA (ENSFCAG00000046654.2)
Source: RNAcentral